GCCUCCUCUGUCCUUCCACACGUCUACCUUCCCAACCAUUCCCCAACGCGCCAUCGAGUCGGCAUUCUGUCCUCCCGCCUCCUCAGCCAGCCCUUCUCCACCGCCCCUCAAGCUUCCUUCUACCCUGGGGGUCUUACGUGGGCAGGUUGUACAGGGGGGUCAUGCGGAAACAGGCAACGACCGCCCUCCGGCGCUGCUUGGACAAGAGCUUGUGCCACACGGCCUUCUUGGAUUUGUAAGGGUGCUCGAUCUGGGGGGCGGGGGGGGGGGGGGGGGGGGGGGUGGGUGGAGCCGGGCGGCAAUCUGUCAUGUCCCCGCCUCUACCCCGAUCUGAUUCCUACCCCAGACCCCCUGGGUGAAACUGCCCAUCUAUGCCCAGGCCCAAAUUCAGGCCCAACUCACAGGGCUGUAGGAACUCCCCGGCUGUACCAAGAGAGUCAAGGUUCGAACCUGGGCUUUGCUUCCAGACCGAAAUGUCUGUCCUAGGCCCGCCCACAGGCCCAGGGUCACUACCCAGGCCCGUCACCAUCCAGAGACCCACCCACGGUCCUGCCCAGAGUCAAGGCGUCUUCACCAGGCCCCACUCUAGACCCCAAAUUCUGACCCUGACCCCGCCCCUAGGCCCGAGAUCUAAGCACCAGGUCCUUCCCCUGGGGUUCCCAAAUUCCUUUCUAAAGCCUCGCGUUUAACUCCAGGCUCCACCCAGAGACCCAAGGUUCACCCUCAGACCCCGCCCACAGAUUCAAGGCCCGCCCCUUGCCCCGCCCAGAGACCCCAGCUCCCCGCCCCCUCCCAAGACCCUUCCAGCCCAGCCACCUGCUCCAGAUGGUAGAGCACCGCAGACACCUCCUGGACCCUGCGCACGAUCUUCUCGGGGUCGUCGGCGUCCUCCUCACGGCCCGGGAGGCCCCGGUACAGGGCCAUCUGCCAGCGCAAAGAAGGGGAGCCUUCCACCUGACGGGAGGGAAGAACGGCGGCCGGCGUGAGGGUCCCUCCCCCUGCUGGCUCCCGUUCCCCAGCCGGGCUCGUCUGAGGGCCCCUCCGCUCACUCGAGGUGGGCUUCUCUGGCUGCCCCGCCCCCCUUUCGGUGCCGUGACCAUUCAUUCUGACCAUUCAUUCGGUGGGUGAGUACACGUUAAGGUCCUUCUCACCCUGCCUGGUACAGAGUAAGUAUACUUGGCUAUUAUUGUUGCUACUGUCCUAACGUGCCCCUUUUGGUUGCAGAUUAAGGAGGGUACCUUUCCCUGAAGGUGAAGGUUGUUCUGCAGAUAUUCCCGGACCUCCUCAUCUGUGUCUUUCUGGGGAGACAUGGCCAGACUGGGUCACUCUGAUGGCCC
Molecule: long non-coding RNA, 1337 nt
Filed under: Lynx pardinus (Iberian lynx)
Lineage: Eukaryota; Metazoa; Chordata; Mammalia; Carnivora; Felidae
Source: RNAcentral